RNAcentral lists this long non-coding RNA (11391 nucleotides) under Oryza sativa (Asian cultivated rice). Its description in RNAcentral is "long non-coding RNA (OSAT_LNC001967)". Lineage: Eukaryota; Viridiplantae; Streptophyta; Magnoliopsida; Poales; Poaceae. The record is from RNAcentral.
GAUGAACUCUGUAACCAUAAUAUACCAGAAGUAUUUCUGUGCCAUUGCUGGGAAUUAUAUUUCUAGUAAUGUCAUUAAGAAAUACCAACAACAACCACAUCACAAUUAUGUUAAUAAAUAGGAAACAAAUAUAAAUUUUACAUUGGUCUUAUGACCAGAUUUUACAAUUUCUUUCCACACAGGGCCAAACAAAGAUAAGCAGCGGAAAAAGAAUCGAGAGGCACCAAUGAGACAAUCGACUGUGGCACGCAACCUAUUCGACAUCCUCAGCAACAGAACUUCUGGAAACAACUGACCUUCUCUGAAAUUUUGUGAGACAACAAGGGUAAGUACAUAAAGUACUCCCAAGUGUACGGGAAUAUGCAAUAUAUGAUACAUGGCUUCAAAGGAAGGUUAGGGUUCAUUUGCAUAAAGGCAUUUGAGAACUUAAAUACAAUAAAUGGAUACAAAUUUAAUUUAAACAACAUUUGCAAUCACGGUAUUUUUAACCAACCAACCAACCCAAAAAGGAUAUUGCGUCCACACAGGACCACACAGCUAUAUUCAUUAAUUUAUCCUGCACACAGCUCUUUCCCAAAAGUAAAACUUUCACAAAUCUACCCCUCAUGUGAAAUCACCGAGCAUGUCCAUAACCGAGGACGCGGCUAUUCGAAUAGAUUAACACUCUGCAGAGGUUGUACAACUUUACCCACGAGAUACAGUUCGGUGCCGCUAAACACCAAAGAGUAACAAAGCGUUUCCUCUACCUCACCCUAACACCGGCUUCCCCAUGGGCGGUCCUCCCAUCACCACACAGGUGAAAGGUCCCAUGUACAAUCCAAAAACCUAUCAUCUAGCCACCUGGGCCGUCGGUGCCAAAGCUAAGUAGUGUACUAAGCUAGGUCCUUCCCAUGAGGACAUGUGGUUGCACGGUAAGACUCAGAUCAAUGGCGCACGAAGUGAAGUCCUUAUCUGACCAGGGCGACUUGCCUAAACUAAGGACCUCAAGCACACAGCAAAAAUGGAGCACAUAGCUCAAUCGACCACAUAGGUCAACAGUAAGCACGCAUACAGAUGGCUUACCUCCUAGGUUCACACAGAUCCACCAUCGCCCUGGUCUAAAACAUUUUCCACCAGAUCAUUACUACACGGUGCAACACAUGCCACCAAGAAGAUAGCACACAACCACACAGUUUAUAUAAAAAAACAGUGAUAAGUAGAUCAUUAGUCAAUAUUAUAUUUUGCCUUGUAAAAGUGUGAGCAGGGCUAAGCAAAUCUACUACCCUGAGCCAAUACCCCAUGUUUGACUCUCAUACAGUCUAGGUGACAAAUAAUCAAGGAUAAUCAACAAUAAUUCAAGGCAUGGAAUAAUUAACAAGUAGGUUAUAACUACCCACACAAUAAUUUGUAAAACAAAACAAUGCAUAUAAUUUAAAACAAGAUAAUUUUUAAAGUUGGGAUCAACAUGUUCAAGGGUACACUUGCUUUUACCCACGGGAUCUUCAGGAUCUUCAGACUGAACCUUCACCUGCAACAGCAACCUCCUCAGCAACAACGUCUACACGAUCGCAAAAAGGAGAAAACAAAUAAACAAAAAGAAAAGGCAGCAAAAUAACAACAAAUGAAAUAACCAAUUAAAUCAGGAGGUAGAGCUCAAUUUUAGAAGAAUUUAGGAAAAAGAAUGGGCCGAAUCGGAGUUUGGAUGAAAGAGAUGUGACCUCCGGAAGAUUGAAUUAUUGGAAAACCAUGAAUAAAGAAAGAGAAAUAUUUAGAAAAUAUUCUCUGGAAUUUCUGAACCUAAAGGAUUAUAUUUGACGGACUGGCGGGCAUGGUCCACUUGCCGGUAGGAUGACCUACGGUUAAUUGGUUACAAGGAGGAGAGUUGUGGACCAAUUACGUGGAUGGCUGAGAUCUAUUUGUUGAGAUAGAUGACUUGAUUGGUUUUGGGUUUUAGGAUGCUAGCCUGACCAAGACGCAUGUGACGUGGUGCCACACAAAAUGGAUCUCAUGAACGUGACAACAAUGAAGCACCGGAUUGAAGUAGGGUGAAUCAAAAGCACAGCAGGCUAGAAGACGACGUCGGGUUCAUGAAAGAUAGCAGCAGCGGUGGUGAAGGCUAUGGAGUUGAAGCGCAGCGGCAAGGCGAUGGCAUGGUGGAGCUCGACCUCUUGGUGGCAGGGAGACAUGGAGUAGUAGGGGAAAGACGAGUAGUGGCAGCCACAUGGCAUGGACUACUCCAGUGUAGAAAACAGGGAUGUCGGUGCAGUGAUUUAGGAAUGGAACCGUGAUGACCACAGCAGACAAGUGGUAGGAACGGCGGAUCGUUAACGGUGAGGUGGUUUCACCGGCAGACAAUAGCAACUUGACAAGAGACCGUGCUGGAGGCAGGGAAGACAAUGGAAGAGGAGGAUAAGAGCAGUGGUGCUGCUAGAGCCUUGAAGCUUACCAACCGCAGUGGCAUUCAUAGGAACGUGAUGGCGAUGGAGACCAUGACAACACUAUGCUCCAGCAAUGACUAGGGAGGAGAAGACAGCAACAACGACUCGAAGUCUCAGGUUCAGUGGCAGCAAAUAAAACAGCAGCAGUGCUGGUGUUCGUUCACCCGAGACAGUGGUGAUGUAGACGACGGUGUAGCAUCACGGCAGCAAGACGAGGUGUCUGGGCGUGCACGAAUAAAAAAAAAGAAAGAAGAGGGGCAGUGCUGCUGGUCAAGGAAGUCAGAGUAGAGAGCAUCUCAGCAUGCACAAACAAAAGAAAAGGAUGACAGUGGCGCUGGUAUAUAUAAAGAGGAGGAAAUGGGAGAUGAACAGCCAGUCGGGAGAUGGAGAGAUGGUGAAAACAGAGCUAACCGAUGAAUGGUGAUGGUGAUUUAGUUUUUGAUAUUCAAUGAAGCAGAAUGUGGUUGAGGUGAAAGUGCUUACCAACCAUGUCAGAGUUGUGGCAGCAAGAUGCUCGUGCGACAAUAAUGGCAGAAACUCACGAGACGUCGUUGCAGCAGCUGAUCUGAUCCACUGCAUUGCUCGACCUCCCAAGUAUUAUGGCAGCGCUAAAAACAGGACGGUGAUAGAGGUUAUGGAAGAAGAGUGAGCAUGAUGAUGUAAAGCUCGACAUCCCGGCGAUGAUAGCUUUGAUUUGCUGGUUGGUCAGGUUUCUUGGGCGCAGCAGUGUGGAGCAGAGAGGCGAUGAUCCCAGCGUGCAUGAGCAACAGAAAAAUAUGGCAGUGACCUUGGUAGAAUUUUUUUGAGAAUUAAUAUUAUUUUUAUGGAAAAUCGCAAAAGUAGUGGCCAACCGGGAAAAAUCGCGAAAGUAGGUCCCUGUCGAACGGGUGCAAUUCGAUAGGGCACCUAUCGAACGACGGGCAGUCGACAAAGCCCUGUCGAAUGGCUGGCGUUCGACACGCUCACCUGUCGAACGGAGGGAGUUCGACAGGGCCCACCACCCGGCGCCGCGAGGCCUGUCGAACCGGGGGCGUUCGACAGGGCCCUCCACCGACCCUGUCGAACAAUGGGCGUUUGACAGGCCGGUUUAAAGCCCCAUCCACCCAGGCCGCGAGUUCGAUUUGUUUUGAGGACCACAUCGCCAGCCGCCGCCGAGAGUCGCCACUUCGUCGUCGUGAGCGCCGGAGGGAGCGAGGGGAGGGGAUAGCAGGCCAGAGAGGAGGCCGAGGAGGCGCCGGCCGGGAGGAAAGGGUUGGCGACACCCUCCAGCAGUGAAGUUAAGGUAUACAUUAGUAAUCCCUAAGUACAAUGCAUAUGAAAGUUUAAUAAAAAAUUGGUUUAAGAGUUGUUGAUUGUUUCGCAUUGUUCGAUGUUAGUAUGUAUGGUUAGCACAUAUUUGUUAUUGCUAAAUGUUGGUAGAGGUAUUUAAGUAAUUGUACGGUUAAAUUAGUUCUUAGUUAGUACAUAUUAUUGAUAUGUUGUGUGUUAAAAUAGGUACAAAGGUGUUAUAUUUUAUUUGGAUUAUUAAACUAGUUGUUUGUUACUAAUAGUUGUAAAUUAGUACACGGCAAUAUAGUAUAAGUUGUAAUAGGGUAAUUAUCGAAUGAUUAAAUGAUUAAACGUGAGACUAUUUGUCAUGUUUUAUCAGGAUGUCAGGUGAUAUGCCCAUUCGUCUGUAUUAUGGCGAUGCUCCUAUACAAAUAUGUGAUAGUGGGGUGGAUUUGACUGUAUAUGUCUUCCAUGAUACUAGUCUGAAUGCACCGGAGCAUAUGGGUUUGAACGACGUGUUAGGGUGGUUGUAUAAUAUGUUUGGGGUAGAUCCAGUGCACGAUAAAUUUGUCAUAAAUGCCGUGUGGCCAGUGAGGGGUCAACAUGGAUGGCAGUGGAGAGUAGUGGAGGUUGCGUCAACUGGGAGUUGGAGGAAGUUUGUUAGUAAAAUAAGGGAGAAAGGCUAUAGCCUGGCAAUAGUGGUGCAGAAGACAACAUGUGUUGAUCGAUCGGGGGAGUCAAGUCAUGCCGUGGUGGAAGAAACUCCGUUGGAAGGUGGACAAGCUGAAAAUGUUUGGCGGACUGAGCAAGAUCGAGGGGAAGAAGUAGUAGAGGGUAAUACACAAGGAGAGGUCAUUGUUCGUGGUACUAAUUGUGAGGCCAACGACUCGGACGAUGAAGAACCGGAUUCGCCUAUGCGUGUUGAUGCAGCGGAGGAGAAUGAGGCGGUAGUGGAUCAGAUGGAAGUGGAAAACGAGGAAUACCUUGCGCUUGUAGUGGAAGGAGAAGAUACAACACUGUGGGACAACGAAACUAACAUACCCGAUGAUUGGACGACCAUAUCAAUGAGUCGUAUGAAGGUAAACGAUGGUUUAGAUGCCCACUGGUGUUAUGAUAGUAAGCAGGUGAAAGUUGGACAGAUGUUUCAUGACAAAGGUCACUUACAAGAUGCGGUGAAGAGGUGGGCAUUUGUCCAGAAGCGUGAGUUCAGGGUGAAGGUUUCAAAUAGGACGACGUAUGACGUGAAGUGCAUACAGGGUGGAUGUCCUUGGAGAGUGCAUGGUUACAAGCCACAACAUGAUACUUUAUGGGUAGCUUUGAGGGUUGAGCAACAUACGUGUUUGUUGGAGAAUACCCGUCUGGUGCACAGAAACCUGACAGCGGCAUUUGUGGCACAAAUGGUAUAUUCAAAGGUGGUUAGAAAAACAUCUUUGUCCCCUUUCACCAUAAUGCAUGACGUUGAGAAAGAGUACGGAUAUGAGAUAUCGUACGACAAGGCUUGGAGGGCAAAACAGAAAGCAUUGGAGAUGAGGUUUGGAACUUAUGAGGAUUCUUAUCACAAUCUUCCCCCACUAUUGGAGGUGAUGCAGGCAAGAAAUCCGGGCACACACAUGGCUAUUCUCGAUGAGGUGAAUGAAUAUGGGGAGAAUGUUCUUCGUCGGGCUUUCUGGUCAUUUGGAUGCAUGAUAGAGGCCUUUAGAAAUUGCAUUCCUUUGCUCUGUGUUGAUGGCACUUUCAUGACAGGCAAGUACAGAGGAACAAUUCUAACCGCGAUCGGAGUCGACGCGGAUAGCCAUGUCGUUCCUGUUGCUUUUGCAUUUGUUGAAAGCGAGAACACAUCAAGCUGGCUAUGGUUUUUGCGGCACAUUAAAAUGUGUGUUGUUGAAAAUAGACGAAAUGUGUGUGUUCUACAUGACCAACACGCCGGUUUGCUAUCAGCGAUACAGAAGCUUCAAGAAGAUGUCACACAGUCCGUGCCAUGGCCAGAUUUACAUAGCAGAUGGUGCAUGCGACAUUUUGGGGCUAAUUUUUAUAGACAAUUCAGGAGUAAGAGAUUGAUGGACCUAUUCAAGAAGUUAUGCAAGCAGAAUCAACAAAGAAAGUUUGAUGCCAUAUGGGAUCAACUGGAUCGUUUGACCACUACACACAUGGAAGUGGUUAGGAAAAAACCUAUAGUUGCCAGACAGGAGGAGCCGGAGGGACUUGAACCCAUUCCUAAUGAAGCACCAAGUAUUACUCGGCGCAGGAAGCGUGGAAGGGCCACGAAGUGCUUCACGGAGUGGGUAGAAUUUGAGCCAAGGGAGAAAUGGUCAUUGUUGUACGAUACAGAUGGAUCGAGGUAUGGUGUGAUGACAACAAAUCUUGCUGAAGUGUAUAACUGGGUUAUGAAGAAUACACGACCUCUACCACUUGUUGCUAUCCUGGAGGGCAUCACGAGGGGUACACAGAAGUAUCUCUGUAAAAGGUAUUCCAUGGCUAGUCUGAACCUUAGCAAACCCAGUGUUAAGUAUAGCCCCGCUAUUACACAGUACAUGGAUGAGAAAAGUAAGAAGGGAGGAAUCCACAGAGUGUGGCCUGCUGGGAAUAGAGAGUUGUUAUUUGAGAUACGACUUCGUGACAAGAGUGGUGUCGGCAUUGGGACUACUGACAUCACAUUGGAAUGCAUGUUGUGGCCAGAGUAUCACGCUUGCAAAUGCAAUUGCAACAAGCCUUACCUGUUACAUCGGCCAUGUUCCCAUGUUCUUGCUGUUUCCGCAAAAGGGGGUGUUGAUGGAAACAUUUUUGUUUCUCCCUACUUUAGAAAGGAAUCAUGGGAGGCAACUUAGCGUGGUGAAUUGCGUGGUUGGCGUGCCAUGUGCGAUUUCACUCGUCCUCCUCCAGGGCAAGCCAAUUGGGUUCCUGACUCAAAUUUAUUAGUUGAUACUAAGGGUCGUCGCCAGUCGCGCAGGAUCAAGAACCUUAUGGAUGAAGCUGAAGUGAAAGAUCGUUCUCGUCGUAAGAAAGCUUGUAUUCUUUGCGGGGAGAACCAUUCCCGUAAAGAUUGCAGCAUGUACAAUGUAGGGCAAGAUGCCACAGGCGCUGAUGUUCGUCGCGUUCCAAAGGGGAAGUCGAAGAAGAAAAAUAAUCCUUAGUUCGCUAUUAUCCUUGGUGGACUCCCUACUUUGAAGAUCGUUAUCGUUCAAUUUAUGUUUAGUGCGUCUGUAAUUUUAAUUUGAACUUUCUUGCACUUUUAUUACCCGAAUCUAUUUGUAAUGGCCUUGUAAUUUUCAUUUUGAACUGCACUGCACUUUUAAUAUCGUCAUGUAUUUGUAUUGGAAUUGUAAUUUAAAUUUCGAACUGCACUGCACUUGUAAUAUCAUAAUAUAUGUGUCGUGGGCUUGUAAUUUUAAAUUGAAAUGUACUGAACUAUUCUUAUCUGUAUCUAUGUGUGCUGGUACUGUAAUUUUAAAUUGAAAUGGCAUGCAAAUUUGUUACUUGAAUUAUGUUGCAUACAUUUACUGUACUGUUACCACACGUGCAUUUACUAAUGUAGUUUUCGAUCUGCAGGUAUGGCUGAUCAAUAUGAUGGGCAGCUGAUAGACAAGGAGAUCGAUAGGAACCAUCGAUCGCGACGUCUUAGUACAGGAACUUUCUGCAAUGUGCUAAAGAUGCGAGGACCGGAUCAAUAUUGGCGUAUUGAUCCUCCUCGUUGGGUUCCAAGGUGUGUGAAAAUAUAUUGUUUUUACUAAUACAAGGUGUUUAUAUUUUCAUGUAUUAAUAACUUGCGCUCUGUCAUGUUGUAGGCUGAGAGCAGCUGGGUUGUUGACGUUUGCACGGUUGGUCGAGCCUUCACGUGCAAGGUCCGAACGAAUCCACAUUGACGCGGCGCUUCUGAGUGCUCUUGUGGAUAGAUGGAGGCCUGAGACCCACACUUUCCACCUCACAGUUGGAGAGAUGGUGCCCACUCUGCAGGAUGUGUCUUAUUUGUUGGGGCUGCCGAUAGCUGGGCCAGCAGUUGGCCCAACAAUGGUGAAUGCUGGAUGGGCGGAUGACCUUCUGGCCAGUUUUGGUGGUGUGCUACCUGUUGCACUGGAGGAUCUCACAGAUGGGCACGGGCCUACGAAAAGUUGGUUGAAUCAGUUUCGAUAGGAUGUCUUCCCUGAUGACCAGGAGGAGUGGAUCGUGCAGCGGCACUUAGUCGCUUACCUGUUGUGGUUGUUUGGAUGGGUGAUGUUCACGGGAACUCACGCUGACUCCGUGGACAAGCACUUCAUCCACUUUGCGGAGCAGAUUGCAGAGUUACCUAUCGCGGAGAUUCCACAGUACAGUUGGGGGUCGGCGGUACUUGCGGCGACAUAUGCCGGACUGUGUGAUGCUUGCGUGAGGAACAGCAAGCAAAGUUCACUCCCUGGAUGCCCAUUGCUACUUAUGUUGUGGGCGCACGAGCGCUUUGACAUUGGGAGGCCUCAGCUUGACUCGUACGCAAACUACGGUUUGCAAGAGAUGUACAGGUCUGGUGUUGAUGACAUCGACGAUCGUCCCACUAUGGGAUCCUUGUGGACACACCGUGAGGUAUUUUUUGUUAAAUUCGUUUAUGUUAUCAUUAUGAAUACUAGUUCACAAACUUUCCUUAUAUGACUAAUGAAAACUACUACUUGUUACAGCCGCAGUGGGUUAGCGGGACGACACGUCGUGUCUACACUCAGUUUGUAGCUGACUUUGAUCAGCUUACGCCUGACCGUGUUCGGUGGACUCCCUACACUCAGCACGAUGUCAAUGAUCGUGCACCGCACGGUCUCGCGGAUCUUUGCACGCGAGAUAUGCAACUCUGGAUGACGACUUGUCACCUCGUGGUGGACGUGCACGUCGAGCCACACAAUGUCCACAGGGUUCUCAAACAGUUGGGCAUGUAUCAGGACUUCCCUCCGAGAGAUGGUCGUCCUUUGGCUGAUAGUCUUCAUAGGUUAGUUCACAUCACAGUUGUUUAAUCCUACAUUUUUUAAAAUAAAUCACUGCACAACAUUUUUUCUGAUGUGUGAAUUUGUUGUUGUGCAGGUACUCCAGAAAGGGGCUCGGGCUUUCCUACGAGCUAGUUAUUGUGACCACGGUUCAGCCGACGGUACAAGAGUGGGAGCACGCAGCUAAUAACUUGGCACUUCAGACACCUCCAGACGAUGGGAGUUAUUAUGGAGCUUACCUUCGUUGGUACCGCAGUGUUACACAAUGGAGGUGUUUUCCUCCACAAGGAGAUAGCACCAUCCCCCACCAGGCAGCGAUUACUGACACGUUUGCCCCUCAGCCUAGAUCAGCUUACAACUCAAUGGUACGUGUUUAUUUGUGGAAUUUGAGCAACUAGUUCAAUAUUUUUAAAAAGUUAGCAAGUAGUUCAGUAUGUCUAAUAAAUGUGCAAUUGGUUCAACUAGUUCCUUUUCUUACAUAAAUGUGGAACUAGUUCAGUAUUUAUAAAUGAUGUGCAACUGGUUCAUUAUUUCUAACAAAUGUGCAUCUUGUUAAAUACUCUCAAUAAAUGUGCAACUGGUUAAAUAAUUUUAAUUGCCUUGAUUAUUUAUGGAACAGGCGGAAUUUGUUGAGCACGUUCACGUGGAGUCCGACACCCUGCUGCAAAGACUAGAGGCGAGACCUCCAGUCGUCAGGCCUGACGACGUGGCGAGCAUCCUUCGCAACUUCCGUGCACGUGCUGCCGCACUACUACGUCGUGUCUCCUGUCGGAGCGCGGCAGAUGUGGUGCAGACAUCGGGCCGACGGCCAUCACCACCACUACCCCGACGUUCCAGCGUGGAUCGGAGUGGUCCAUCCUCUUCACGUCGCGGGUACGAAGCGGCCCACACAUCUCACGGUCGUCCUUCCUUUCAGCACACCCCAGCACCGGAGUACACCAGGGGGUCAGCCGGAUCAGGGGUACCCACGUCGAGCACGGCACCACCACGUCCGCAGGUAUUCCAAACUCCGCCUUAUGUUCACCUCUCGCAGGGAGCAUCUGGGUCGGCACACUUCCCUUACAUGCCAACGGGGGACAACGUGUUGAACACACAAGCAUGGGGACUUCAUAUCACUCCGCGUGCGCCAGAGCAAGGCCACACACAGCACACAUGUAAGUCAUUUUAAACAAUAACACGCUUUAGUUUCUAAUUAUAUGUAUCAUUACUAACUACGCCAUAUUUUUUGGUUUCUCCCUCUUGUGCAAACAGACGAUGAGUACGGUUCGGCGUCGACGCAUCACGGAAUGCCUGCUUACUCCCCUCGCACAGCAUUCAUUGAGGACUUCUUUUCCACUGAUCCUCCCCAGGGGGAAGUAGGGAUGGAUUACUGGCACGCAGCACCUCAGGUCACACAGCCGACGCAGGAGACGAAGGCCGGUCAGGGGCCAGACAUGACACCAUAGCAGGCAGCUAGAGAUAGGCACCCCCCUGAUAAUUUGACAUAUCCCACUGAGCAGAUUAGGCGUAGGAAGAAGGGAGGACCUAGCAAGCGUGCGAAGGGCACUGAUCGUCCUUGACUUAUCUAUUUGUAUUAAACUUUUAGUCAUUUAUGUUCUAUCCGUACUAUUUGAGAAACAUUUUACGAUUAACUUAGUACUAUCAGUACUAUUUCAUAAACUUCUUCGGAUAAUUACUUAGUAGCAUAUCCUUCAAAUGAAUCAUGACAAAUUAUCAUUCAAAUAUACAAAAAAUAAUGAAACUAAAUAAUUCAAAUAUUUUAACCAACAAAAAAAUACUACAAUUUCUUACCAAACAUUAUCAAAACCCUAAAUCAUAUACAUAUAACAUUACAAAAAUAUUUUCCUUUCUUACACACUAAAAUAAAUUACAUAUUAUUAAAAAAAUAACUUAUUACAAAUAAAUGGAGAACGCGACCCUGUCGAACUACGCCAGUUCGACGGAUAUCCUGUCGAACAGGGGCAGUUUGACAGCCCUCCUGUCGAACAGGGGCAGUUCGACAGCCCUGCCUGUCGAACGGGGGCUGUUCGACAGGUCCUGUCGAACGGUAGCCUUCCGAUCUCCUCGCCAGUCGCGCUCUGGCCGUUCGAUAGGCGCCCUAUCGAACUGCACCCGUUCGACAGGGACCUACUUUCGCGAUUUUCUCCGGUUGACCACUACUUUUGCGAUUUUCCAUAAAAAUAAUAUUAAUUCUCAAAAAAAUUCACGUUGGUAUAUGCAAAGGAGAUGAACAACCAACCGAGAAUUGGAGGGACAGUGAAAACGGGGCUAACUGAUGAUUAGUGAUUUAAAUUUUGAUCUUGAAUGGAGGAAACAAAACAGUACAUGGAUGGAGUGCAGGGGAUUACCAGCCAUGGCAGAGAAGAUGAAGCAACAAAGCUCCAGCAAAGGAGAAGAUGGCAUCAGUGGCUUGGGCUUCCGAAGUGGAUGGCGAGAGGGCGGCUCUGGUUCCACGACGGCAGCAGCGCCUCUGCGUGCAGGCGACGGCGACCGAACAUGAAGGAGCAACGUGGUUCACCACCGAUGAUGGCAUUUAGUUGGUGGCUGUUUGGAAACAGGACAACGAUGACGUGCUUUGUGAUAUGCAAAUGGAAUCACGAUCACGUGCACGCACAGGACGAUAAAUUGGGAAGAAAAAAAAUGAUGAAGGAGGUGGAUGUAGGGCAGGUGUUUACCGCAAAGGAGAAGUUGCAGCAGCAGCGGGUGGUUGACAGAGAAUCGUCGGCGCUGGUGGACAGCUUGAUAAAAGAUAGCACAGGAGGCGGUGG